This 760-nucleotide long non-coding RNA is filed under the name Homo sapiens (human). Its description in RNAcentral is "non-protein coding lnc-PLEKHO1-3:1". The record is from RNAcentral. Lineage: Eukaryota; Metazoa; Chordata; Mammalia; Primates; Hominidae.
UAACAUUUUUAGGCACCAAUAACAUUCAAGCUGAGAAUCAAAGUAAGAGCUCAGUCCCAUUUACAAGAGACACACAAAAUACUUAGGAAUAUAUUUAACCAAGGAGGUGAAAGAUCUCUACAAGGAGAACUACUUAACAUUGAUGAAAGAAAUCAUAGAUGACACAAACAAAUGGAAAAACAUCCCAUGCUUAUGGAUUGGAAGAAUCAAUAUUAAAAUGAUCAUAUUACCCAAUGCAAUCUACAGAUUCAACACAAUUCCUAUCAAUUACCCCACUCGAUAAAUUAUGCUGGGAAAAUUGGCCAGCCAUAUGCAGAAAAAUGAAAUUGGACCCCUAUCUCUUAACCAUAUCAUCAGGCAAUAGUUUCAUAAGGAACACACAACCUAGAUCCCUCCCAUGCGUAGUUCACAGUAGGAUUUGCACUCCUAUGAGAAUCUAACGCCUCCACGGAUCUAAGAGGAGGCAGAACUCAGGCCCUAAUACUCACUGCUCACCUCCUGCUGUGCCCCCGCCCAGUUCCUAACAGACCACGGACUGGUAUUGGUCCUCAGCCUGGGUUUGGGGACCCUUAUCGUAAUUGACACUUUACCAUAACACCCUCUUCAUCAUUGGUAGCUUGUAUAACUGUUUUUAGGGGGAAGUCUGUGAGUUUUUCUAUUUUGUUGAUUAACUUUAUUCACUUAGCAAGUAUUCAGUAAGAAUACAAAGAUGAAUAAUCUAAAGAUCCUACCUCAAGUUAUUGUCUAUUAGGAAAGAACA